UACGGAGGGUGCAAGCGUUAUCCGGAUUCACUGGGUUUAAAGGGUGCGUAGGUGGGCAGUUAAGUCAGUGGUGAAAUCUCCGGGCUUAACCCGGAAACUGCCAUUGAUACUAUCUGUCUUGAAUGCCGUGGAGGUAAGCGGAAUAUGUCAUGUAGCGGUGAAAUGCAUAGAUAUGACACAGAACACCGAUUGCGAAGGCAGCUGACGAAACUGUAACUGACGCUGAGGCUCGAAAGCGUGGGGAUCAAACAGG
RNAcentral lists this ribosomal RNA (253 nucleotides) under uncultured bacterium. RNAcentral describes it as "partial 16S ribosomal RNA". It matches the Rfam family "Bacterial small subunit ribosomal RNA", at positions 524 to 776 of the family's 1533-position model. The record is from RNAcentral.